This 442-nucleotide ribosomal RNA is filed under the name uncultured Verrucomicrobiota bacterium. RNAcentral describes it as "bacterial SSU rRNA". It matches the Rfam family "Bacterial small subunit ribosomal RNA", at positions 917 to 1359 of the family's 1533-position model. The record is from RNAcentral. Lineage: Bacteria; Pseudomonadati; Verrucomicrobiota.
GGACCCGCACAAGCAGCGGAGCAUGUGGUUUAAUUCGAAGCAACGCGAAGAACCUUACCAAGGCUUGACAUCCCUCUGACCGGUGUUUAAUAGCACCUUCUCUUCGGAGCAGAGGAGACAGGUGGUGCAUGGUUGUCGUCAGCUCGUGUCGUGAGAUGUUGGGUUAAGUCCCGCAACGAGCGCAACCCUUGCCUUUAGUUGCCAUCAUUAAGUUGGGCACUCUAGAGGGACUGCCGGGAGGAUAACUCGGAGGAAGGUGGGGAUGACGUCAAAUCAUCAUGCCCCUUAUGCCUUGGGCUACACACGUGCUACAAUGGUCGGUACAAAGCGAAGCAAUACUGUGAAGUGGAGCGAAUCGAAAAAACCGAUCCCAGUUCGGAUUGUAGGCUGCAACUCGCCUACAUGAAGUUGGAGUUGCUAGUAAUCGUAGAUCAGAAUGCUA